GAUGAACGCUGGCGGCGUGCCUAAUACAUGCAAGUCGAGCGAACAGACGAGGAGCUUGCUCCUCUGACGUUAGCGGCGGACGGGUGAGUAACACGUGGAUAACCUACCUAUAAGACUUGGAUAACUUCGGGAAACCGGAGCUAAUACCGGAUAAUAUAUUUAACCGCAUGGUUCAAUAGUGAAAGACGGUUUUGCUGUCACUUAUAGAUGGAUCCGCGCCGCAUUAGCUAGUUGGUAAGGUAACGGCUUACCAAGGCAACGAUGCGUAGCCGACCUGAGAGGGUGAUCGGCCACACUGGAACUGAGACACGGUCCAGACUCCUACGGGAGGCAGCAGUAGGGAAUCUUCCGCAAUGGGCGAAAGCCUGACGGAGCAACGCCGCGUGAGUGAUGAAGGUCUUCGGAUCGUAAAACUCUGUUAUUAGGGAAGAACAAAUGUGUAAGUAACUAUGCACGUCUUGACGGUACCUAAUCAGAAAGCCACGGCUAACUACGUG
Molecule: ribosomal RNA, 497 nt
Filed under: uncultured bacterium
Lineage: Bacteria
Description: partial 16S ribosomal RNA
Rfam family: Bacterial small subunit ribosomal RNA
Source: RNAcentral